Molecule: ribosomal RNA, 433 nt
Filed under: uncultured bacterium
Lineage: Bacteria
Description: partial 16S ribosomal RNA
Rfam family: Bacterial small subunit ribosomal RNA
Source: RNAcentral
AACGAACGCUGGCGGCAUGCCUAACACAUGCAAGUCGAACGAGACCUUCGGGCUUAGUGGCGCACGGGUGCGUAACGCGUGGGAAUCUGCCCUUGGGUUCGGAAUAACAGUUGGAAACGACUGCUCAUACCGGAUGAUGACGUAAGUCCAAAGAUGUAUCGCCAAAGGAUGAGCCCGCGUAGGAUUAGCUAGUUGGUGAGGUAAAGGCUCACCAAGGCGACGAUCCUUAGCUGGUCUGAGAGGAUGAUCAGCCAGGCUGGGACUGAGACACGGCCCAGACUCGUACGGGAGGCAGCAGUGGGGAAUAUUGGACAAUGGGCGAAGGCGUGAUCCAGCAGUGCCGCGUGAGUGAUGAAGGCCUUAGGAUUGUAAAGCUCUUUUAGCCGGGAUGAUAAUGACGGUACCGGGAGAAUAAGCUCCGGCUAACUCCGUG